UCUAAGUGCAACCAUGAGUUUUCGUGCCCAACUUUAAUUGUCCGUCUUUUUUUUUAUAAUUAGUAUUUUUGUUGUUAUAAGAUGAUAAAACAUGAAUAGUACUUUACUCGUGACUUAUGUUUUUAAUUUUUUUCAAAAUUUUUUUAAAUAAGACGAACGAUCAAAUUUGAGCGUGGAAAACCAUGGCUGCACUUAAA
MicroRNA precursor from Oryza rufipogon (brownbeard rice), 197 nucleotides. It matches the Rfam family "MIR812 microRNA precursor family". Lineage: Eukaryota; Viridiplantae; Streptophyta; Magnoliopsida; Poales; Poaceae. The record is from Rfam.